UACGAAGGGGGCUAGCGUUGUUCGGAAUCACUGGGCGUAAAGCGCACGCAGGCGGAUCGAUCAGUCGGGGGUGAAAGCCCGGGGCUCAACCUCGGAAUUGCCUUCGAUACUGUCGGUCUCGAGUGCGGGAGAGGUGAGUGGAAUUCCUAGUGUAGAGGUGAAAUUCGUAGAUAUUAGGAAGAACACCAGUGGCGAAGGCGGCUCACUGGCCCGGUACUGACGCUCAGGUGCGAAAGCGUGGGGAGCAACCAGG
RNAcentral lists this ribosomal RNA (253 nucleotides) under uncultured bacterium. RNAcentral describes it as "partial 16S ribosomal RNA". It matches the Rfam family "Bacterial small subunit ribosomal RNA", at positions 524 to 776 of the family's 1533-position model. The record is from RNAcentral.